UACAGAGGGUGCGAGCGUUAAUCGGAAUUACUGGGCGUAAAGCGUGCGUAGACGGUUAUUUAAGUCGGAUGUGAAAGCCCCCGGGCUCAACCUGGGAAUUGCAUUCGAGACUGAAUAGCUAGGGUGCGGUAGAGGGAAGCGGAAUUUCCGGUGUAGCGGUGAAAUUCGUAGAUAUUCGGAAGAACACCAGUGGCGAAGGCGACUCGCUGGACAGACAUUGACGCUGAGGUGCGAAAGCGUGGGGAGCAACAGG
This 253-nucleotide ribosomal RNA is filed under the name uncultured bacterium. RNAcentral describes it as "partial 16S ribosomal RNA". It matches the Rfam family "Bacterial small subunit ribosomal RNA", at positions 524 to 775 of the family's 1533-position model. The record is from RNAcentral.